AGAGUUUGAUCAUGGCUCAGGACGAACGCUGGCGGCGUGCUUAACACAUGCAAGUCGAACGAUGACGGUGGUGCUUGCACCGCCUGAUUAGUGGCGAACGGGUGAGUAACACGUGAGUAACCUGCCCUCCACUUCGGGAUAACCUCGGGAAAUCGUGGCUAAUACCGGAUAUGAGCACUCAUCGCAUGGUGGGUGUUGGAAAGAUUUAUCGGUGGGGGAUGGACUCGCGGCCUAUCAGUUUGUUGGUGAGGUGAUGGCUCACCAAGACGAUGACGGGUAGCCGGCCUGAGAGGGCGACCGGCCACACUGGGACUGAGACACGGCCCAGACUCCUACGGGAGGCAGCAGUGGGGAAUAUUGCACAAUGGGCGAAAGCCUGAUGCAGCGACGCCGCGUGGGGGAUGACGGCCUUCGGGUUGUAAACCCCUUUCAGUAGGGAAGAAGCGAGAGUGACGGUACCUGCAGAAGAAGCGCCGGCUAACUACGUGCCAGCCGCCGCGGUAAUAC
RNAcentral lists this ribosomal RNA (507 nucleotides) under uncultured bacterium. RNAcentral's name for it is "bacterial SSU rRNA". It matches the Rfam family "Bacterial small subunit ribosomal RNA", at positions 8 to 526 of the family's 1533-position model. The record is from RNAcentral.